UGUCCCGGAAUAACACGAGUUGGUCACGAAUGUACUCGCCUACUUGCCGGAAUGACACGAGUAGUUACGAAUACAAUCUUUGAGUGAGCGACUCUACACAAAGAUUAAUGCGUUGUAUGCCCGCGCAAAGCAACAAUCAUGGAGCCAGUUGUGAAAAUCGUCACUACUAUCUCUGAUCUCCGUUCCAAAAACCCGGGGUCUGCUGCGCUACACUUCCAUGGGAGAUAACUCAUCAUAUUUGAUAUCCGGUUUAUGAUAAACAUGCUUCGACGAAGUUUGACGUGCAUUUGUCGAUAUUCUGGUCGACUGAUGUCGCCCACUACAUUACAUGUAACAAGAACACUGACAUCGGGCUAUAGAAGUCAAUAUAGCAUUGACAAGAUAUACCCAAAUAGCGAUCAAGAUUAUUUUGGCUCAACAGCAUUCACGCAAUCAAGUUCAGUAACACCGGAUGGGAAAGAGCUGUUUUCAGGAUAUAUUCCAAUAAAUAAACUUGACAUCAAGUAUUCUAGGAAGUGGCCCAGGAGGUCAG
Long non-coding RNA from Haliotis rubra (blacklip abalone), 532 nucleotides. RefSeq lists it as uncharacterized. The record is from RefSeq and is a predicted model, not a curated record. The transcript is spliced from 3 exons. Lineage: Eukaryota; Metazoa; Mollusca; Gastropoda; Lepetellida; Haliotidae.